Molecule: long non-coding RNA, 2502 nt
Organism: Vespula pensylvanica (western yellowjacket)
Lineage: Eukaryota; Metazoa; Arthropoda; Insecta; Hymenoptera; Vespidae
Exons: 3
Source: RefSeq, a predicted model, not a curated record
GUUCGUUCGUCGAAGAGCGAAGGGAAGAGAGACGAGAACGCAGAGGUCCUUUGAUCCUCGGCACUCGGUGUCGGCAAACAGGAACUCCGCUGGUGAACGCAGCCACCGCGCUUUAAUACCUCAUGCAAAUUUCAGGAAAAGGGCACCCCCGUUCGCCCUUCCACCACCCCCUCCUCCUCCUUCGACUCCUCACACUCCUGCACAGUGGUGAUAGUCCGCUAUAUUGCUUCCCGAACAAAUCGCUAUCCGCUUUUCGUCCCCUCGCACCCUCCCACCCUUCUCCUGUCGACUUCUGCAACGAAAUUUCGGAAUUAUUUGCGAACCGUACCGCUCGAGUACCUUCUUCCUUCGGUAGGCGAACUCUUUGUGAAGUCACAUCGAUCGAAAUCGAAUCAAGGAUGUUGCGAUCGGGCAAGUUCAUAGAAACAAAUCGCUCUCCAUAUUCCAAGUUACGACGUGGGAGGAUUCGAUCGGAAACGCCGCACGGGUCCGACGAUACUUUAGAGGUACCGACUCCCCCGGGGCCGAUCUACCGAGCUCGAUAUACAUACAAUACGGUGCAAUGCGGUAUACCGGAUCAACCGUGUUACUCGCGCGCGUAAGCGCUUCUCUUUCUCUCGUUCGAUCUCUCCCGUAUUCCUUCCUCGCCAGUUCAUAAUCGAGCAACGGAGCUAACCUUGGACGUUGAAUUGGAUUCGCCAGCUGCUUUGCGUUCAAAGCCACGUUAAAAUUUAUCGCUCAAAUUUCUACGGGGGACAUUAUUGCCGAGAUAUUCCGGAAAAGAGCAAGGGAAGCCGAGAACUCUUUUGGGAGCGUAAAAGGGAGUACCAAGAGGGCACCAGGAGGAUACCGGGAGAGCAACCAGGCGGGUACCGGCCGAGGAAGCAUGGAGUCGUCCUUUCCCGGGCAAAGGUACCUUUUUGCCCUGCGAAAUGGCCCGGAGAAUGUCAUCCAAUGAGGGUGAAGUAAGGGGAAAACAAGUAAAAUAAUGAUAAAAGGCGGAGCCCACGGCGUGAUUUGAUUGGUCGAGAUAUCGCCGGCGUUCGAGUCAACCCGCAAAGAAGAGGGGGAUGUCCUCUCUCUCUUUCUCUCUCCUUCCUCCUCCUCCUCUUCUACGACCGUCUUUCCUCUCCCUCUUUCUCUCUCUCUCUCUCUUUCCCUCUUCCUCCACCGCUUCCCUUUACCACACCUUCCUGGGCUCGUUCUUUCCGUCUCUCGUUCUAUCUGGCUCCCUCCUCUUUUCCUUCGUACGUACUCGCACACACGUACACGUACACGCUGGAAACUUACUUUAUUCUCCUCUCUCCACGGGUCCAUGGUCCACGAUCGUGUCCUGACUCUGGCAGAAGCAUCUUUGCCCCCCACUCUCGGCUUCUUGCCUGUCCUCCGCUGACUUCUUCUUCUCCUUCUUCAUUACCUACUCCUUCUGCUGCUGCUUUUGCUUCUUCCUUCGCUCGAAGAGCGUGAAUAUGUCCAACGUCGCAUAAGUAUCUACGCCGACCGGUCCUCUAUAUUUAAGUGAAAUAUACUCCUACCCCUCCACGAAAGAGAAACGUCAAGCCUAGAAAGAAAAGGAGAAACUGUUUACAAACGACGAAGAUGCUUUUACAGUCUUCUUCUUUGGAAGAGCGUGUAUUCGAGUAGUACAGGGUCAAAGAAAUUAUUAGUGACCGUAGCUAAACUGCCGAACCCGUCACGUGUUCCUCGUACCCGGGGGUGCUUCGUUGCGGAAAAGUAUAUUGACUUGUGAUACGCCAUCUGUGCGGAGGAAGCACCCUCCUCGCGGCGUUAUUGGCAAAAUUAAUAAGCCCGGCACCACGAUCAUCUCUCUCUCUCUCUCCUCUCUCUCUCUCCGCAAAUGGGAAUCAGUUAAUUCUGGCUUUACCCCCCGAAUCUCGUUGUUGGCGGAUUAGAAACGUUUCCAAACGAAUGGAAAUUGUUUGCUCCCGUCCGACGGUGACGACGAGCUCAAUGCGCAGGGGAAAAGCAGGAGAGAGGCUGGAGAGAGGCAAGAGAGAGGCAGGAGAGCUCGUUUGGCUCGCUUUGGCUUUUAAAGAAAGUAUCUACUACCGACGAUAAAUUACGUGAAUACGCUAAAUUACCGCGACCACGAUCGGUCAUUAUGGCACGUCGAGCGAUCGAGCUCUCUUCUCCGUUAAAUCACGGUUUUGCUCUCUUACGAGCGCCAAGCUGUAAUCUCCCGAGAGUGGAUCGAUGUAAAUUAAUGACCGAACGAUUAUUUCCAAACGUUCCUCGUUAGUGAAUUUUUCCAAUAUAACGAAGCCCCUCGCGAAUUUCCGUCGUCAAUCGGUCGAGCGAUAUUGGCCAUACAUUAGGGACAAGUACACGUUCCUCGAGUAAUUAUCGUCCUUAGAAACAUCUCGGCGACUUUCUACACGACCUAUAAUUUGGUCGUAGCGCGCGGUAACGCACGUUCCUUCCUUCCACGCGAACCGGUUUCUUUCUUUGUACUUUUACGAAAACAUCCAGUCGCGGAGCGAC